GGCUGUUUCAMUUCCCGACCCGCGCCCGCCAAUAGCCCCUUCAAACUCGUCGAAUAGUGACAUCUGAGUUGCGAAGUCAAUAAGCUAAAACUUUCAACAACGGAUCUCUUGGUUCCGGCAUCGAUGAAGAACGCAGCGAAAUGCGAUAAGUAAUGCGAAUUGCAGAAUUCCGCGAGUCAUCGAAUCUUUGAACGCACAUUGCGCCCUUGGGCACUCCGAAGGGCAUGCCUGUUCGAGCGUCAUUAUCAAACCUCAAGCCCGGCUUGCAGUUGGGAUCCACCAUGGUGAACCAUGGCGGACUCAAAAGGCAAUGACGGUGCCUGCGGGGCCUUGGGAUGUAACGAGCUUUCCAGCAUGCACCUGCAGCCCUCCAGCGUCGUCUCAACCAAUCUUUUGGACAUUGACCUCGGAUCAGGCAGGAAUACCCGCUGAACUUUAAGCAUACCCCG
This 449-nucleotide ribosomal RNA is filed under the name Botryolepraria neotropica. Its description in RNAcentral is "eukaryotic LSU rRNA". The stretch from base 89 to 242 matches the Rfam family "5.8S ribosomal RNA". Lineage: Eukaryota; Fungi; Ascomycota; Lecanoromycetes; Lecanorales. The record is from RNAcentral.